CCUACGGGAGGCUGCAGUAGGGAAUUUUCGUCAAUGGGCGCAAGCCUGAACGAGCAAUGCCGCGUGAACGAGGAAGGUUCUUGGAUCGUAAAGUUCUGUUGAAGGGGUAAAAGAGCGGAGAGAGGAAAUGCUUUCUGAUUGAUAUUACCCUUCGAGGAAGUCACGGCUAACUACGGGCCAGUAGCCGCGGUAAUACGUAGGUGGCGAGCGUUAUCCGGAAUGAUUGGGUGAAAGGGGUGCGUUGUCGGCCUGCUAAGUCUGGCGGAAAAGGUACCGGUUCAACCGGUACAGGCUCUGGAUACUGGCGGACUAGAGAGCAGGAGAGGGCGGUGGAACUCCAGGUGUAGCGGUAAAAUGCGUAGAUAUAUAGAAGAACACCAGUGGCGAAGGCGGCCGCCUGGCCUGUUACUGACGCUGAGGCACGAAGGCGUGGGGAGCAAAUGGGAUUAGAUACCCGUGUAGUC
This 464-nucleotide ribosomal RNA is filed under the name uncultured bacterium. Its description in RNAcentral is "partial 16S ribosomal RNA". It matches the Rfam family "Bacterial small subunit ribosomal RNA", at positions 338 to 795 of the family's 1533-position model. The record is from RNAcentral.